UACAGCCAUCCACACCACGUGAACACACCCGAUCUUGUCUGAUCUCAGAAGCUAAGCAGGAUCAGUCUGGUUGGUACCCAGAUGGGAAGGAGGCCUGAACAUUGGAUUUAUAGGGUGGGAAUGCUAGGAUGGCACCAC
Molecule: ribosomal RNA, 138 nt
Organism: Gorilla gorilla gorilla (western lowland gorilla)
Lineage: Eukaryota; Metazoa; Chordata; Mammalia; Primates; Hominidae
Source: Ensembl